AUUGAACGCUGGCGGCAGGCUUAACACAUGCAAGUCGAGCGGGGUGAUGGUGCUUGCACUAUCACUUAGCGGCGGACGGGUGAGUAAUGCUUAGGAAUCUGCCUACUAGUGGGGGACAACAUCUCGAAAGGGAUGCUAAUACCGCAUACGUCCUACGGGAGAAAGCAGGGGAUCACUUGUGACCUUGCGCUAAUAGAUGAGCCUAAGUCGGAUUAGCUAGUUGGUGGGGUAAAGGCCUACCAAGGCGACGAUCUGUAGCGGGUCUGAGAGGAUGAUCCGCCACACUGGGACUGAGACACGGCCCAGACUCCUACGGGAGGCAGCAGUGGGGAAUAUUGGACAAUGGGGGGAACCCUGAUCCAGCCAUGCCGCGUGUGUGAAGAAGGCCUUAUGGUUGUAAAGCACUUUAAGCGAGGAGGAGGCUACUUUAGUUAAUACCUUGCUGUUUUGACGUUACCGACAGAAUAAGCACCGGCUAACUCUGUGCCAGCCGCCGCCGUAA
RNAcentral lists this ribosomal RNA (502 nucleotides) under uncultured bacterium. RNAcentral describes it as "partial 16S ribosomal RNA". It matches the Rfam family "Bacterial small subunit ribosomal RNA", at positions 30 to 523 of the family's 1533-position model. The record is from RNAcentral.